RNAcentral lists this ribosomal RNA (464 nucleotides) under uncultured Desulfobulbus sp. RNAcentral describes it as "bacterial SSU rRNA". It matches the Rfam family "Bacterial small subunit ribosomal RNA", at positions 924 to 1382 of the family's 1533-position model. The record is from RNAcentral. Lineage: Bacteria; Pseudomonadati; Thermodesulfobacteriota; Desulfobulbia; Desulfobulbales; Desulfobulbaceae.
CACAAGCGGUGGAGUAUGUGGUUUAAUUCGAUGCAACGCGAAGAACCUUACCUGGUCUUGACAUCCCGGAGACCCUUAGGAAACUAGGGGGUGCUUCCAUCUGGAAGAAUCUGGGGACAGGUGCUGCAUGGCUGUCGUCAGCUCGUGUCGUGAGAUGUUGGGUUAAGUCCCGCAACGAGCGCAACCCUUGCCUUUAGUUGCCAGCAGUUCGGCUGGGCACUCUAAAGGGACUGCCGGUGUUAAACCGGAGGAAGGUGGGGAUGACGUCAAGUCCUCAUGGCCUUUAUGACCAGGGCUACACACGUACUACAAUGGCCGAUACAAAGGGCAGCGACACUGCGAGGUGAAGCCAAUCCCGUAAAAUCGGUCUCAGUCCGGAUUGGAGUCUGCAACUCGACUCCAUGAAGUUGGAAUCGCUAGUAAUCGUGGAUCAGCAUGCCACGGUGAAUACGUUCCCGGGCCUU